CUCUUGCUGAAGAUCCCUGUCUACUGGAAGCCUUCUGAAGGUUGUCUUACAGCUGAAGGAGGGAAAAUAGAGCAGCAACAACUGAGGCAAGCUUUCAUCAGAGUUUUGAACACCGCACUACAAAUUGUAUGCCAAAGAAAUGCUUCCAUCUCACACUGUCCUCCAGACCAGAGGGAUUAUAUGGGCUUUCAGAAUCUUAUUAUACGUGGAGAAAUGCACAUAUCUUGCCUGAAGGACAUCUCAGAGAAAACUCGAGAACAGCUGCCUGGCAGAGGGCAGCGGUGGAUUCUUUGUGGACUGCUGAAGAAGGUUGGCACGAAUUACAAGGCUGAAGCACAAUCCAGAGCAGGAGGACAGAAGGGACGUCCCCAUGUUUGGAAUCAGCCUGCUCCACAGCUGGUGGCUGCAGCAGCACCAGAGAUGGGUGCUGCCAGGUGGGCGGUGGGACUGCUGCCCUACAGCCACGUCUGUCUGCCACCACCCCGCUCCUUUCCCAUUAGUGUUUCCCUCCAGAAUGACUGUGACUUCCAGGGGCACCUCUGGGAAUGUUUCUUUGGCACACGCACCAAAGGCACCUCUGAUUGUUUUGUUUGUUUCAAGAUGAGUUGUGUACCUGCUGUUUGCAGCCCCUGCCCCGAGGCCACGCUCACAGGCUGUCAGCUCCUGGAGCCGAGGAUCCGUCCCUUCACUGCCAUAGAAAGCAAAACCCCAACCUCGGUGAACUUUGGCAUAUUUUCCUAAUUGAUGCGAAUGAGAUGAGAGGGAAAACUGACUCCUGUGACCUCCACAGCAUAACUGUGUACUGUGUGUUGCAUGAAUAAAGGGGUGUGCCAUAGCUGCACAAAUGUGAACUG
This is a long non-coding RNA of Gallus gallus (chicken), 854 nucleotides long. NCBI's taxonomy places the organism in Eukaryota, Metazoa, Chordata, Aves, Galliformes, Phasianidae. The record is from Ensembl.